Molecule: small RNA, 28 nt
Filed under: Bombyx mori (domestic silkworm)
Lineage: Eukaryota; Metazoa; Arthropoda; Insecta; Lepidoptera; Bombycidae
Description: ovarian small RNA-21015
Source: RNAcentral
UACGAGUGGGCCGGCGCGCCUGGCUUGU